RNAcentral lists this non-coding RNA (88 nucleotides) under Pontibacillus halophilus. RNAcentral describes it as "c-di-GMP sequence". It matches the Rfam family "c-di-GMP-I riboswitch aptamer". From Rfam's summary of the family: GEMM was predicted in a large-scale screen for bacterial structured RNA regulatory elements. Genes associated with GEMM are involved in a diverse array of functions, including chemotaxis regulation, signal transduction, secretion and chitin. RNAcentral also lists the same sequence under 1 other name. The record is from RNAcentral. Lineage: Bacteria; Bacillati; Bacillota; Bacilli; Caryophanales; Bacillaceae.
UCUCGAUAAAGGCAAACCAUGUGAAAAUGUGGGACGCAAAACUAUAGGGGCUAAGGACAUUCGUUGUCUAAGCUUGCCAGUUACCGAA